This 448-nucleotide ribosomal RNA is filed under the name uncultured bacterium. RNAcentral's name for it is "bacterial SSU rRNA". It matches the Rfam family "Bacterial small subunit ribosomal RNA", at positions 329 to 794 of the family's 1533-position model. The record is from RNAcentral.
GGCCAGACUCCUACGGGAGGCAGCAGUGGGGGAUAUUGCACAAUGGGGGGAACCCUGAUGCAGCGACGCCGCGUGAGCGAUGAAGUAUUUCGGUAUGUAAAGCUCUCUCAGCAGGGAAGAAAAUGACGGUACCUGACUAAGAAGCCCCGGCUAACUACGUGCCAGCAGCCGCGGUAAUACGUAGGGGGCAAGCGUUAUCCGGAUUUACUGGGUGUAAAGGGAGCGUAGACGGCAGUGCAAGUCUGGAGUGAAAGGCGGGGGCUCAACCCCCGGACUGCUCUGGAAACUGUACGGCUGGAGUGCAGGAGAGGUAAGUGGAAUUCCUAGUGUAGCGGUGGAAUGCGUAGAUAUUAGGAGGAACACCAGUGGCGAAGGCGGCUUACUGGACUGUAACUGACGUUGAGGCUCGAAAGCGUGGGGAGCAAACAGGAUUAGAUACCCCAGUAAC